CGUGGACCCCCCCCCCCCCCCCCCCAUACAUCCAUCAAAUCGCACCAAAUAUCCACAAUAUCAACAACAUAUACCCUGCGUUCGAUGUCUCCCGGACGGCAAAGAUUCUAUGCCGUCCGCGUCAUUUUUUUUCCCAGCCGGAGCAAUACACAGGGCGGCUCUGAUUGGCUACCCGCUCCAGCCCCUGACGUCAGGACCCACAAUGCAUUGUGGUUGCUUAGCAACAGCGUUCGCAUCCUACGGAGUCGCAUCCGAUUUUGCUGUCUGCUGGUGCCGUGCGUUGUGUUUUGUUUUCGUCCGAUGGCCAUCUCUGGUUCGGGCAAGGAUACAUGUCUGAAAAUGGCUGAUAUUAAGCUUUGCCCAUGCAGCAAGGACAGCUUGACUAUUUUCCACAAUCUUAGGGAGCUGCUUCCUACGAACUACGACUACCGCGAACUACCGCGACUACGAACUACGACUACGACUACGACUACGACUACGACUACGACUUCCGAAGGAGAGAGAUGUAUCGACGGCGACCAGGGACCGUCUUCUGGAGCUGUUCCGGAUGGCCUACUCGGCUGAGUAGGCGCGAGACGAGCUCAUCUCAGCUCUGCAAGAGGAGGCCGGAGACGAUUUCUACCGCAUCGCAGCGGACCGCGCCCACUGUCCUGAUGUUGGCUAUUGUCACCGGUUGUACCGGACAGAAUUCAAGAAAGUCUUUGGCGAGCUCUCCGGAGAGAAAAUGCUGGACGGCCUUCGCUGCCUCGUAGAGCAGUGCGACGGAACAUCGGGCGGUCGUGCUGCUCUGGAGGUGGACGAUCACAGGCAUGAAAUGUCGUUCACAGGCAUUUCAAGAAAUGUGUUGUGAAAUCGAGUAAAUUGGUCUUACAGCACCCGGCGGGUUUUUGGCCUCAAUGAGGCAAGAUCCGCGGGAACCGAGCAGCACGAGCCAGCCAAGCACGAGCCGAAGUGACGCAUCUGGUGAUCAGCAACCUGACCCGGCGAGCGAGGAGAAGGCGGGCACCAACCCGGGCGACGGGACAGCUGACCUGAUCGCUCGGUGCCAGGCUCUGUGUGAGUCAUGGCAAGCUGACCUCAUGCGUGCACCAGAGCUGUACGGCCCCGCACUGGGCACGGCCACGUUCAUUAGCCGCUACGAGUGCAUGAAAACGGACAAUUCGCGGGGAUCAAGUUUGCACCAGUUUGGCACUGGUUGCAGCGCUGUCCCUGCAAGCUCCUUUAAAAGCUCCGUGAUGAUAGGCGUCCAUCCGACAGCAGUGGCUCGCAGGAAGGUCCCAGUUGGUGGCAAGCGGCGUGUUUCCACCGGGAGACCCAAAAAAGACGCCGCCGCUGGCGACCACGGUGCCUACGCCGUGCCAACGAAGGUCGCGAAGCAAUCACUCUGUUCUCAGGUGGUGCCCCCAGCUCGAGCCCCACACAACCUGGCGGAGUGUGUGGCUCGAAACGUGUCUGUGGGUCGAACCCACAGUGCCUAAUGUGUUCAGGAUGGUAGUUAGGAUGUAAUCCUCAAUGCGGAUCGACAGUGAAAGCUUUAAACGCGUCGAUGAUAACGGUCUAGCGGAAUGCGAGCAGUGGUUGCCAGAUGGUACUCGCAUGUGUAAAUACAUGUUCCAGUGGUUCUGGUGCUGCUGA
This is a long non-coding RNA of Amphibalanus amphitrite, 1635 nucleotides long. RefSeq lists it as uncharacterized. Lineage: Eukaryota; Metazoa; Arthropoda; Thecostraca; Balanomorpha; Balanidae. The record is from RefSeq and is a predicted model, not a curated record. The transcript is spliced from 5 exons.